UAGUUGGAAUUCAGUGCAAGGUGUAAUGGUGUUAAAUCAAUCUAUGAUGACGACGACGACGACGACGAUGAUGAUGAUGUUGAUUAUGCUGAAGUUCCUCUUCCUGAAAGAAUAUUGUCUUAUGGAAAAUCAGCAGAGACAAGUAGGAGUUGAAACCAAAUGACCACCCCUUCCAGAUCCUGUACCCACAGCAAGACCUAUAUCACCAGAGCAUAAAACCUUCCUGAAAAUGCCAUUGGGAAUAAGACUGCUGUACCAUCUGCCUUGACCUGCUGGGACCUUACCAGCAGUACCACCACACCAUGUACUUCAUCUUCUAAGCAGAUUCUAAUUACAAGGCAAGAACUGAUUCAGGUGGGAAGAGCCCUCUUGCUGUUCGAGUUAUCUCUUGUUAGAUUGACAGUGGUCCACAUGACCUACACCAAAACCUCAGGCUUCUUGGGUGGGCUUGAGAGAUAUAUUUCCAAAAGGGAUUUAGCUACGUGAUGGCUAAAAUCCAGCAGACAUUGCUUUGAAAUUGUAUGCAAUUGUAUAUAUACCAUACUGCUCUCGCAAACAAUAUAUAUCUCCACAUGCAGAACAGGCCAUCCAAAAGAACACAGUAUGCUAUAAAAAGUGUUAUGAUAAUUUAAAAAAAAAAAGCUUUCCUUAAAACAACAAAAAAAAAAGGAUUAUUGAUGUUUGUUAUAAAAUCUACAAAAAUAGCAUUUAAAGCAUGUGAUUUGUUUGUUGUAUUAAGCACACAACAACUUGAAGAGAAGUCAUGAAUAAGAGCAGUUAAAUCCAGGUCAGAACAGAAGUGUCUCUUCCAGGACAGUACCUAAGCAAUCAAUACAACUAUCAUUAGUGCUUUUUGCCAAAUACUGCCUAGUGAAUCUUGUUGUCCAAGAACUCACUAAGAAUAUCAUAAGCAGAAGUUGCUCUGUUGCCUCUUCCACUGUUACAGCACCUCAGGUCAAAGUCCAAGUUGGGUUUUGAAUAUCUCCAAUGAUGCAAACUCUCUCUGGAGCAACCUGUGUCCAACCACUCUCUGAGAUGAAACUAUCCCAGACUGAAAGGGUGGGACUCCAUUGGAAGCCAGCAGACUCCCACUACCACAGACAAGGCGCCAGUAAACUUAUAUCCAGUAACUUAUAUCCAGUAACUGGAGAGUGAAAUGCUUCUCACCUCACUUCAGCUGCCUAGAAGAGAAAACAUCUCCAAGAGGAAGUCUCCAGUCACCUCCAGGGGUCAGUUCAUUACUUAGGUCUGAAAACUGUACACUUGUGUCUCUUCUUUGUCACAAUGGGAGUCCCUAAUUCCAAUUUAGACUGGAUAGUUAGAAGUUAAGUGCUGAAAGGCAAGGUAAUUCACACCUGAACUGAAUAAUGGGCAGCACUUCCAUGGGUGCUUUUGAAAUGUGCCUAAAAUAACAGAACUGCGAUUUGCUGUUCUCAUUCAAAUGGAGAAGUCUGAAAACCCUGUGUGCUGGCAUGCACUGACGCUCACUAAUCCAGAGGAAUGCCGCAUACUGGGAACAGUCCCCUUGAACCCAGUGGAACUACCACGACUUUUCAGGAACUCCUUCAGACUGAAGCAUAAGCGUUUAUUUUCUCUGGGUAAGACAGAUCUUUAUCAAAGUUGUAUAUUUACAGCUCGAUUUUCUGAAAGUGCAGAGCAUUUUGUAACUUCGCAUCCAUCAGUGAUGGCUGAACUGAAACACACUCACAGCUUCAGUUCCUGGAAGUGAGCAAGUUGGCCGCAUGUCCACUGCUGUCUGCAGGGACCAAGGGUGAGACACUGGGUGCCAGCAGCUGUCUCAGAUGGUACAAGAUAUCUACAUUUGGCCAACUGAGUUAUAAUGUCAUAGAAUCAUAGAAUCACCAAGGUUGGAAAAGACCUCCAAGGUCAUCCAGUCCAACCACCCACCUACCACCAAUAUUUCCCACUAAACUAUUUCCCUCAGUACAACACCUAAACGUUUCUUGAACACCUCCAGGAACGGCGACUUCACCGUUACAUGGGAGAAGAGGCUGACUCCCACCUCACCACAGCUUCCCUUCAGGUAGUUGAAGAGAGCCUUCAUGUAGUUGUGGAGAAUCACACUGAUGGUCAGUAAAGUUAAUAUAUUUCAGGGAUUGAUUCUUCUCAUCACCACCUGAUCAGAUGAAUGACUUUCCUACUCUACUGCUUACAUUAAUGAGUGAUUGACUGAGCCUCCCACAGAAAUGCCAUUGGAUUGGAGAUGCCCUAUGGUAUCUGGGACUUGUUCACAGAGUUAACAGAUAUGUCACAGGACCUGCCAGGGAACCAUACAAUUCUGGAAAAGCCUCUAAAUGUCAUCCAGAUUUCAACUCUGAAAAAGUUUUCCAAUAACAUUGGAUACUUGUCUGUGGGUCGCUGAUUAGAGAUAUGGAUCUUCAUUAGCUGUAAUGAGGUGGAGACUCCUAUAUCUUAUGAAGAUCUGUGUACUACAGACUGAAGAAACCUAUGCUGCAUGUUGUUUUGUAUAGAGAUCUUGCAGUGACUGAGAGGCACUAAAAAUGCAUACAGAUAGAUGAAAUGAAUAACAGCUUACGAGUCUAGGCUUUAAGCCAAACCAGUUUCUCUAUGUUGUGACACUAAUUUAAAGUAACUGUGUUUCAACAGCCUGGAAAGUUUAGAUUCAAAUUCUCAGGAGAAAAAGAGAUCUGGGGUACAGAGAGAGGUUUGCUUUUUCUUCCAAUUACUGCACAAGGAAAAAACAUUAAACGAAUGACUUUUCAUCAAAGGAAUAAUAAAAGUAAAGAAUUCAUUGAGAGAUUGGGAAGAGAGUGGUAGAAAUAUCUCCUCUGUUACAGUGCUGAAGACACGGACAUGCUGGAGAGGUACAUGGUGAGAGUACUUAUCAAAUUUCUGAGGCCACUAUUCAGAAAAUGACAUCAUGUUGAUGUUGUUAUUUCACCUCUUUGCUGGGUUGGGGUUAAAAGGUACAAUAAGUACAGUUCUUGUGUCAUUUCAAAAUACCUGAGGCCUAAAUAUGAAGGAAAACAUGGAUAAAAAUGUUUCCACCAUAUUUUGGGAAAAAUCAUUGUCACUCAACCAUACGAGUUGGAGACAGGUUUAUUCUAUAAUUUGUUUAUUUAUUUACCUAAAUCGGUUUGAUGAGCUAUUUAUUGCCCUAAUUACAAAGAGACACUGUAGAAGGGUGUAAGAGAGGAUAGAGAAGAAUUCAUCUUCUUCAGGAUAUGUUCACUCUAAAGUUGAGCAAUGGAGUUAAGAAUGAGUAACUGUGUCACCAAAUGAUUCCCUGUGUGUUCAGGGUAAAGUUUAAUAUAAUAACACUUAUGCUCCUAACAUACAUGACAUUGGAAUUUUGUGCUAGUGUAACUGAGACCAGAAUUGACUGUUUUCUCUCAGGAAUCAAGUCUAGAAAAGAACUUCUUAAAAGCUCAGGGCUGAUCCAAAUUAAUUGCAAAUCACAAUGGACAGAGAAAAACAACACACAAAGCUCUGCAUGGGGAAGAGAAGCAGGAGAUGAAACCUAUAUGAAUGUUAUUCCACCCCAGAGAGUUCUGCACAUCUAGCUGCUGAUUACAGAUAUCUGUAUCAAGGAUCAUAUUCCUCACUCUGUGCUCAUUAACUAUAGUCACUCCAGCUGAGUGUUUCACCUGGGUGGAGUGCUUGGCUGUUCAGGAAUUAUGGCUGCUUUUCUUUUCCAGAUUAAUGUAAGGGUGAUGUGGCCCAGUGGUGCACCUGGCUCGUGGAUGUAUAAAAUGCUUUGGAAGCCCCAUUGAGCAAAAUGAGCCAUGGAAGUGUCAAUCACUUUCACUGAGAACAUAAGCAAGCAGGUACGAAGCUGGGAAUUUGCCAAAACUUGCUCACAGCUGAAGCCUGGUGCCUGUAGCUGUUUGGAUAGAAAGCCAAACAAUUUGUCCUGCUCUUACAUAGAAGUUAGAAGUGACACUAGGCAACUUUAGCCAGUUCACACACUCAUUUCUACACGCUUCAUACUCUGUAUUAGAAGACUAAUUUCCUGAACUAGUUCUUCAAGUCAAGUAGUUAAAAACAGUUAACGCAACCAACUGAUGCAAAGAGCAGUGAAUCCAUAACUCCUUUAUGACAAUAAUAUAUGACCCCCAAGCAAAGAGUUUCUUUAAAAAUAGUACAAAAUCUCUCUUUGUCUUCCUUUUAAUAAUAUGGAGAGUUUAAGCCUGUGUUCUCAAAUCAUGCCCUGAUGAAAUGCCAAGGUCUGGUUUCACCAUGCAUAUGAUUCUCAUUUAUGAGACACAUACUUAGAUGAAUCAACGUCAAAGGCUUAUUUAAACAUAGCAAUUCUGCAAUGAGCUAAUAACUCAUGCACAACAAGGUAUUUCUUUUGCUAGCUCUAAACAAAUUAUGAAUGUUAAAUAAACAUCUUCUUCUUGCUUAAACUACUCAGAUGCAGAGGAAACAACCGGCUGCUUUUAAUAAAAAUAUUGUGUAAAAUGAGAGAGUCCCAGAUGGUGAGGUCUAUUUUUUUGUUUUCUAAAGGGCAAUUUUAAUUUUGAUUGAAGCUCGGUAAUUUCUUUUCUUAUUUGAUUUCCCUAAAGCAACGUUCCAAAAAAUCAUAGCUUUUCCCAGUUUGGAUACUUAGGCAGUGCUGAGAUGAAAUUCUCAUCUGGAAGAGUUUUUCAGCCAUUUGUAUAAGACGUGACCCAGUGCCCAUCAAAGUCAAUAGGAUUCUUUCUUCUGAUUCCAAUAGGCUUUGGAUGAAAUCUAAGGGGUUUGAUUUAAAGUCUAGUUAAAUCACAGAAAGAUCCUCAAGAUCUUAGGAGAAGGUGGUUUAUACUCCUCCAUUCUGCCCCACAGCAAUACGUUCUGGGAGAACCUUCACCCAAACAAAACAUUUCAUUUAAUGGGGAAUUAUAUUUAAAAUGUCUCAGCUUUUGAAUAAUACAAAAAAAAAAAAAGUGUUUUCCUGUCACAUUUUGUUGGUUUUAUCUAUCUAUGUUUCUAUCUAUCAUCUGUCUAUCUACCUAUCUAUCUAUUUACUACUCUUUAAACCCGCUGAAGGCAGAAGAAGGAAGAAAUUAAACAGUGGCAAAUGUUAUAAUUUUCUUUUUCUGUAAAGUUUCCAAGUCCAAGAAAAUAAAUCACUGAACCAAAAAUCCACAUUUCACAGUUACUUAUUUUAUUCAAAACUAAUUCUCAGCAGGAGAGGAAAAGUGAGGAUUUCAAAGGUAUAGCAUGUAAAGGAAAAUGAUUAUUUUAAUUUUAAGCAUCAACGAGUUAUUUUUCAAGUGCUAAACUGAGGUCCAGCAAAACUCUAGUGAUACCAUUUUAAAUCUGCCUUGCUUUUUUCAAAUUAUACUCUUGACCUGGUCAUUGGUUGAGAUGUAAUAUUAAAGACCAUUUAUGGGGAAGCAGAUAUUAAGGAUUGUAACAUUGCAAUAUUUCAAAUUAAAAUAGAAAAAUGCUGCUGCAGAAUAAUUCUUUGGAAAACAUAUCAAACUGACUAUUUUUUUCUCUUUU
This is a long non-coding RNA of Numida meleagris (helmeted guineafowl), 5472 nucleotides long. RefSeq lists it as uncharacterized. NCBI's taxonomy places the organism in Eukaryota, Metazoa, Chordata, Aves, Galliformes, Numididae. The record is from RefSeq and is a predicted model, not a curated record. The transcript is spliced from 3 exons.